CGGUGAAUCGUGUGCCAGCAGCUGGGUUGAUACGAGGGUGGCAAGCUUGAAUCGGUAUUAAUGGGCGUGAAGCGUGCGUAGUCGUGGCUUGAAGUCGGCGGUGAAAUCCCCGGGCUCAACCUGGGAAUGGCAGUGGAUACUGGGGAGCUAGAGUGUGAUAGAGGAUGGUGGAAUUCCCGGUGUAGCGGUGAAAUGCGUAGAGAUCGGGAGGAACAUCAGUGGCGAAGGCGGCCAUCUGGAUCAACACUGACGCUGAGGCACGAAAGCGUGGGGAGCAAACAGGAUUAGAUACCCUAGUAGU
RNAcentral lists this ribosomal RNA (301 nucleotides) under uncultured Bacillus sp. RNAcentral describes it as "bacterial SSU rRNA". It matches the Rfam family "Bacterial small subunit ribosomal RNA", at positions 494 to 794 of the family's 1533-position model. The record is from RNAcentral. Lineage: Bacteria; Bacillati; Bacillota; Bacilli; Caryophanales; Bacillaceae.